CAGACCACAUUUAAGGGUAAGCCAGUGGAGAGGAGAGUAUUUUGCUGGAGAUCUCUGCUUACUUGAGGCUUUCAAAAGUGCCUGUAGAAAACAAUCCAGGUAGGAAGCAAACAAGGGACAACAAUGAAGAACAACAGGACCACUCAUCCCAGACUCCUCUGCCAUCCCCUAAACAGGCAGUUUGCUUCUUUAGGUAGUUUGUACAAGGUCUAUUUGCUACCAGUCUCCUCCCACUUGGCGCAGUGAAUCACCGUUCACACAAUGCUGAAUGAAGCCACUAAUUAAACAUGUGAUCUUUAUUAGGCUCUAGGCAGGUUACGCUUACAAUCCUGUGCAGUAAAUGACUUGUUUGUACAACUCUUUAACGCAUCUCCUGCCACUUUCCAACUGCUUUGAGUGCAAACAGGUCUGUGCUCACAAGGCAUGUUGGCCAAUUCUCUC
This is a long non-coding RNA of Lagopus leucura (white-tailed ptarmigan), 441 nucleotides long. RefSeq lists it as uncharacterized. The record is from RefSeq and is a predicted model, not a curated record. The transcript has 3 exons. NCBI's taxonomy places the organism in Eukaryota, Metazoa, Chordata, Aves, Galliformes, Phasianidae.